GCCGGUCUAGUUCAGUGGCAGAACGGCAGCUUUGUAAGCUGGGCGUCAUAGGGGCAAUUCCUUUGCCCGGUACCA
Molecule: transfer RNA, 75 nt
Filed under: Lelliottia nimipressuralis
Lineage: Bacteria; Pseudomonadati; Pseudomonadota; Gammaproteobacteria; Enterobacterales; Enterobacteriaceae
Description: tRNA-Thr
Rfam family: tRNA
About the family: Transfer RNA (tRNA) molecules are approximately 80 nucleotides in length. Their secondary structure includes four short double-helical elements and three loops (D, anti-codon, and T loops).
Source: RNAcentral